UCAGAGGUUCUUGCAACUUAUUUUUCAAUGCCCCUUGGCAAUCAUUAUCCACCUGACCGUUUGCUUUCUUUUUGUUUUUGGUUCAGGCAUUUCUUGUUUCCUUUUUUCCUUCUUCUUUUUCUUUCUUUCUUUCUCUUUUUUUUUUUUUUUGCAGGAUCGACCUCGAUUCCUCUUUCGUUCACAAUAAGCCUCGGCAACUUACCGGACAGCACUCCACAAGUGC
Molecule: long non-coding RNA, 223 nt
Filed under: Lathyrus oleraceus (garden pea)
Lineage: Eukaryota; Viridiplantae; Streptophyta; Magnoliopsida; Fabales; Fabaceae
Description: Pisum sativum (pea) long non-coding RNA (PSAT_LNC030242)
Source: RNAcentral